CGGGGGAGGCCGGAUCCUGGGCUGUGUCCCGGCGCCCUGUGCUCCGGAGCCUGCGCUGGUGGAUUCGCGCUCCCGGCCGUGCAGCCCCCU
This 90-nucleotide microRNA precursor is filed under the name Canis lupus familiaris (dog). RNAcentral's name for it is "mir-8799 microRNA precursor family". It matches the Rfam family "mir-8799 microRNA precursor family". The record is from Rfam by way of RNAcentral. Lineage: Eukaryota; Metazoa; Chordata; Mammalia; Carnivora; Canidae. RNAcentral also lists the same sequence under 1 other name.